RNAcentral lists this ribosomal RNA (253 nucleotides) under uncultured bacterium. Its description in RNAcentral is "partial 16S ribosomal RNA". It matches the Rfam family "Bacterial small subunit ribosomal RNA", at positions 524 to 776 of the family's 1533-position model. The record is from RNAcentral.
GACAGAGGGGGCAAGCGUUGCUCGGAAUUACUGGGCGUAAAGGGCGCGUAGGCGGGAUGGCAAGUCGGUCGUGAAAUCCUUCGGCUCAACCGAAGAACGUCGAUCGAUACUGCUGUUCUUGAGGGUUGCAGAGGAGACUGGAAUUCCCGGUGUAGCGGUGAAAUGCGCAGAUAUCGGGAAGAACACCCGUGGCGAAGGCGGCUUUCUGGGACGGUACUGACGCUGAGACGCGAAAGCGUGGGGAGCGAACAGG